This 454-nucleotide ribosomal RNA is filed under the name uncultured bacterium. Its description in RNAcentral is "bacterial SSU rRNA". It matches the Rfam family "Bacterial small subunit ribosomal RNA", at positions 355 to 825 of the family's 1533-position model. The record is from RNAcentral.
CCGAGAAUAUUCGACAAUGGACGAAAGUCUGAUCGAGCGACACCGCGUGAUGGAUGAAGACCCUCUGGGUCGUAAACAUCUUUUUAUGAGGGAGAAAGUUUAUUGAUAGUACCUCACGAAUAAGGGGUUGCUAAACUCGUGCCAGCAGCAGCGGUAAUACGAGUGCCCCAAGCGUUAUCCGGAAUCAUUGGGCGUAAAGGGUGUGUAGGUGGUAAUGUUAGUCAGCUGUUAAACCCUGGGGCUCAACCCCAGAUCUGUGGCUGAAACGGCAUAACUAGAGGAUGGCAGGGAUGUAUGGAACUCAUGGAGUAGGGGUGAAAUCCGUUGAUAUCAUGGGGAACACCAAAAGCGAAGGCAGUACAUUGGGCCACUCCUGACACUGAAACACGAAAAGCGUAGGUAGCGAAUGGGAUUAGAUACCCAUGUAGUCCCUGAGCGGGCUGGCAAGGCGCAU